AAAAAACAAACCCUAGUUGUUUUCGUGUCCAACUUUAACUGUCCGUCUUAUAUAAAAUUUUUUAUAAUUCGUAUUUUUAUUAUUGUUAGAUGAUAAAACAUAAUUAAUAUUUUAUGCGUGACUUGUCUUUUUAAUUUUUUUUCAUAAUUUUUCAAAUAAGACGAACGGUUAAAAGUUGAGCACGGAAACCAGAGUUUGUCUUUUUU
This is a microRNA precursor of Oryza sativa Indica Group (long-grained rice), 206 nucleotides long. It matches the Rfam family "MIR812 microRNA precursor family". The record is from Rfam. Lineage: Eukaryota; Viridiplantae; Streptophyta; Magnoliopsida; Poales; Poaceae.